RNAcentral lists this ribosomal RNA (465 nucleotides) under uncultured bacterium. Its description in RNAcentral is "partial 16S ribosomal RNA". It matches the Rfam family "Bacterial small subunit ribosomal RNA", at positions 28 to 507 of the family's 1533-position model. The record is from RNAcentral.
GACGAACGCUGGCGGCGUGCUUAACACGUGCAAGUCGAACGGAAAGGCCCUGCUUGCAGGGUACUCGAGUGGCGAACGGGUGAGUAACACGUGGGUGAUCUGCCCUGCACUUCGGGAUAAGCCUGGGAAACUGGGUCUAAUACCGGAUAGGAGCCAUUUUUAGUGUGAUGGUUGGAAAGUUUUUUCGGUGUAGGAUGAGCUCGCGGCCUAUCAGCUUGUUGGUGGGGUAAUGGCCUACCAAGGCGGCGACGGGUAGCCGGCCUGAGAGGGUGGACGGCCACAUUGGGACUGAGAUACGGCCCAGACUCCUACGGGAGGCAGCAGUGGGGAAUAUUGCACAAUGGGCGCAAGCCUGAUGCAGCGACGCCGCGUGGGGGAUGACGGCCUUCGGGUUGUAAACUCCUUUCGCUAGGGACGAAGCUUUUUGUGACGGUACCUAGAGAAGAAGCACCGGCUAACUACGUG